AAGUAUACCUNUAAAAGGUAAAGUAUACAGAUAUGACUUACACCCAUUUACGUCAGGWCAAAGUGCAGCCGAUGAAAGGGAGAUGAUGGGUUACACCCUAAAUAAAGAUACAAAUUAGAGCAUUAAAAGCUCUCUGAAGGUGGACUUGGAUGUAAUAUCAAUACAAAAUUAUAAUGAAAAUGAAUCUAAGACAUGCACACAUCGCCCGUCACUCUCGCCCAAAGGCG
This 227-nucleotide ribosomal RNA is filed under the name Allolobophora dofleini. Its description in RNAcentral is "partial small subunit ribosomal RNA". The record is from RNAcentral. Lineage: Eukaryota; Metazoa; Annelida; Clitellata; Crassiclitellata; Lumbricidae.